UGCAAGGGAAACUCGCUGUGAGGGCCACCCGCCAUGCCCGCUUUGUGCACUUUGGCUUUUUUGUACCAGGACGUGCAGAUUACACUACUCAGAAAACAUGGAUGAACUUAUGCAAGACGACAGGGACGAGGCCUCAUAUGAAGGGUUCGCCCUUUUGCGUUACCACUGAGUUUAAGAUGGAUUUAAAGCAACAUAUCCCAAGGCUGCAUGCAAAGGAAUUCCACGUAAACUAUGCAUGAGCCCCGGAAAGUGUUCCAUCUGCACUGGUAGUCAGGCAACUGUGCCGACACAUCUGCGGCUGGUUUGGGAGCGGUGCAGCUGUGACCUCCGGUUUGAUCUGCAAAAGGGAGAACAUCUAAUGUGGCAUUCACCAUCUGCAGACGAGCAGGGGAGACGGGGGGGAGACGGUGAGAGAGGGAGGAAGAGCGGAAGACAAAGGAGGGGGGUUGGUCAACAGCAGGCGGCCAUGUUUUCGGGCUCCACAUGUUCAGGUAAAAAUUGAUUCAACAGGGAGAGAUUGAAGCCCACCAAGCCCUAAAAGUGCAACCAAAGGCUGAAUGAAAUGAUGUUCUAAUAAUUACAAUUUGGUUGUGCAGAAG
Gasterosteus aculeatus aculeatus (three-spined stickleback) is the source of this 599-nucleotide long non-coding RNA. NCBI's taxonomy places the organism in Eukaryota, Metazoa, Chordata, Actinopteri, Perciformes, Gasterosteidae. The record is from Ensembl.